UACGAGGGGUGCAAGCGUUGCUCGGAAUUAUUGGGCGUAAAGGGCAAGUAGGUGGUCUCAUUUGUCUGGGGUGAAAGCCUUGAGCUUAACUCAAGAAGUGCCCCAGAAACGGUGAGACUCGAGUCCUGGAGAGGGUCGUGGAAUUCCCGGUGUAGCGGUGAAAUGCGCAGAUAUCGGGAAGAACACCCGUGGCGAAGGCGGUUCUCUGGGACGGUACUGACGCUGAGACGCGAAAGCGUGGGGAGCGAACAGG
Molecule: ribosomal RNA, 253 nt
Filed under: uncultured bacterium
Lineage: Bacteria
Description: partial 16S ribosomal RNA
Rfam family: Bacterial small subunit ribosomal RNA
Source: RNAcentral